AGCUGUGUUAGAAUCGUUCCCUAUCUCAGAAAUAGUUCCCUAUAUAGUGUGUUCACACUUUUGUACAUUAGUGGU
Molecule: long non-coding RNA, 75 nt
Organism: Etheostoma cragini (Arkansas darter)
Lineage: Eukaryota; Metazoa; Chordata; Actinopteri; Perciformes; Percidae
Exons: 3
Source: RefSeq, a predicted model, not a curated record